This 403-nucleotide long non-coding RNA is filed under the name Homo sapiens (human). RNAcentral's name for it is "HSALNT0273852". Lineage: Eukaryota; Metazoa; Chordata; Mammalia; Primates; Hominidae. The record is from RNAcentral.
UCUACCCUGGUACCGCCUUUCUUUUCAAGAGACCAUUCUUCAACAGAACUGUAAGGUUUCUUCUUGGCUGAAUCAGAUGUGACGCAUCCCACUUCUGCGUUUGAGGCGAACAUACCGCUCCAAGGGCUUUGACGUCACAGUGAAGUACACACAAGGAAGCUGGACGGGCUUCGUUGGGGAAGACCUCGUCACCAUCCCCAAAGGCUUCAAUACUUCUUUUCUUGUCAACAUUGCCACUAUUUUUGAAUCAGAGAAUUUCUUUUUGCCUGGGAUUAAAUGGAAUGGAAUACUUGGCCUAGCUUAUGCCACACUUGCCAAGCAUCAAGUUCUCUGGAGACCUUCUUCGACUCCCUGGUGACACAAGCAAACAUCCCCAACGUUUUCUCCAUGCAGAUGUGUGGAG